UAUUUUGCAGAGCUGAGGAUUGAACCAGUGCUCUACGUCAGUGCUCUACCACUGGGCUCUAACCCUAGCCUGAUGUUUUCACUUUUAAAGAUGAGAGAACAGAAGGCCCUCGGCCACCCAGUACCUUGAUGGCAGUGUGGGCCGGGACGGCAGACAGCUGGAUGUCUACUUAGAAUUCUCUUCAACUGCAUGAAUCAUGGUUGCUCUCUCAAGCUUCAUACUCUCUAAUUUGACUAUCAGAACUACAUCCUGGAGGAUCAUUUGGUAAGCU
Molecule: long non-coding RNA, 271 nt
Filed under: Ictidomys tridecemlineatus (thirteen-lined ground squirrel)
Lineage: Eukaryota; Metazoa; Chordata; Mammalia; Rodentia; Sciuridae
Description: lncRNA (ENSSTOG00000032804.1)
Source: RNAcentral